GCCUGGGUGGCUCAGUCGGUUGAGCAUCCGACUUUGGCUCAGGUCAUGAUCUCGUGGUCCGUGGGUUCGAGCCCCACGUCGGGCU
This 85-nucleotide transfer RNA is filed under the name Felis catus (domestic cat). It matches the Rfam family "tRNA". Rfam says of the family: Transfer RNA (tRNA) molecules are approximately 80 nucleotides in length. Lineage: Eukaryota; Metazoa; Chordata; Mammalia; Carnivora; Felidae. The record is from Rfam by way of RNAcentral.